Syngnathoides biaculeatus (alligator pipefish) is the source of this 962-nucleotide long non-coding RNA. RefSeq lists it as uncharacterized. The record is from RefSeq and is a predicted model, not a curated record. The transcript is spliced from 3 exons. Lineage: Eukaryota; Metazoa; Chordata; Actinopteri; Syngnathiformes; Syngnathidae.
UUGGACUUCUCGCGUCCGAGAGGCUCGCAUCUCAAACUUAGGACCGCGCGCCUCACACCUGGACUGGAUAGGCCCGCCGCACCCGGGAUGGACCGCAGACCAGGUGGGUACGGGCAACAUUUUUUUCUUUCAUUGUUAUUCUUAUUAUUAUUUUCCAAACUUUUAAAGGGAUCUGUGUACUCAACUGGAAUGAGGGAUGUUUUAAAUGCAAGGAGCUUUUCAGUAUUCAUCCAAUCACAUUUUCCCUCAUUUUGAGUGUUUUUUUCUUCUCAAUUAUUUUAUUUUAUCUUAUUUUUAUGGCCGUUCACCGCGAGUCCACACCCGGAGGAAGCAGAGUUGCAAAGGCCGAUCGGUGACGACGAAGAUCCGGCGCUCACUCACAAGUCUGAUUUGACGCGUGUGAGAUUUAAUUGACAUGUGGGAGAGUCCAGUCUGCAGCGAGGGAAGCCAUCACCCCAUCAGACUUAAUUGGCGCACGCAACGAGAGUCGCUGUCCCCAACUCAACGAUUGUGCACCAUCAGUGCUGUUUAGUGUUUGCAUCUGUCGUCCUUCGUUUAUUCCUCAUGGUUGGGUGCCCCUGGUGGCAGGUCGCUGCAUUGCUCGCAUUUUCGCGCUGAGCAUGGAUCUAGGCUUCUCAACACUUAAAUUUGUUCUAUUUACAAUACAAAUCAGAAAGGCUGGGGGGGGGGUGUCCUUUCGUGAGAGUAGAUGUCUCUUAUUGGCAUUCUUUAACUAUAACGUGUGUAACGUGUGCAUAUAAUAUGUCACACACAUGAUUUGAAACCAGUGAGGCGCAUUUAAAAAAAAAAAGAAAAUUAAAUUAACACUUUUUCCGUGGUUCUACUAAUGUAAAUUACAAUACUUUGCAUGCUAGUUUGACUUCUUUCUCGUAGUUUAUCGUGCAAAAUCAUAUAUAUUGUAGGGGGUCUGCCCAACACAGAAAGCAAAGCAAAUCUUAAAA